UACGUAGGGUGCGAGCGUUGUCCGGAAUUAUUGGGCGUAAAGAGCUUGUAGGCGGUUUGUCGCGUCUGCUGUGAAAAUCCGGGGCUCAACCCCGGACUUGCAGUGGGUACGGGCAGACUGGAGUGUGGUAGGGGAGACUGGAAUUCCCGGUGUAGCGGUGAAAUGCGCAGAGAUCGGGAGGAACACCCGUAGCGAAGGCGGCACUCUGGGCCGGUACUGACGCUGAGGAGCGAAAGCGUGGGGGGCAAACAGG
RNAcentral lists this ribosomal RNA (253 nucleotides) under uncultured bacterium. Its description in RNAcentral is "partial 16S ribosomal RNA". It matches the Rfam family "Bacterial small subunit ribosomal RNA", at positions 524 to 776 of the family's 1533-position model. The record is from RNAcentral.